GGCCCGGAGUCGAGGUGGCCACGGGGAGGGGCGCAGAGCCGGGUCGGUGGGGGCCGGAGCUGGCGACCGAGCCGGCUACGAGUGGGGGUGGCCGAGUGGGGGUGGCCGGGCGCCUCUGAGGGAGGAGAGCUGGGGUUGAGCUUUUGCUGUCGGCCAAAUUCGAGUCCCCCUCCUUUUGAUCUAUUGAGAGCGAGAAGAUGGGGGGGGCGCCCAAGAGCCCUGCCCCUGGGAGUGGGGUAAGGAGGUGGGAGCCGGACCACCCCCACAUCUUUCCUCCUGGGACUUGGGGAAAUCCCACCCCACCCCCAAGCUGGCCGGAGUUGGGCCCUGACUCUUUCCUGGGGUUUGAAGGCGGAGGCAGACCGAGCUGUCGAGAACUCAGUUGGCUCCGGGAGGCCUGUUGAGGGAGAGUCAGCAAAGAUUCUCUGGCUGCGGAAAAUCUAUUCAAGGAAACACAUUUAUUGAGCAUCCCCCUUAGCCCGGCAGUCAUCUGUCAAGGCAGUGAUAACCUGCAAUGCAGCUUUGCCCCCAACCGAGCCCCCUGACACUCCGACCUGGGAGGCAAGAGCACUGCCCUUUUAACUAAGGAUUUGCCACCAACCUGUGACCUUUGAGGAGUGCACUUUCUCUGGAGUUCAAGCUCUGAGAAUUUGCCCAAGAUCACCCAGCUGAUAAGCAGAAGGCCUGGAGUUUGAAGCCAGGUUCAUUGGAGGCUAAACUCAUGGUAUCUCUCAAAUGCAUUAGUAAGUGGAAAUAAGAAUCAUAAUGGUUUUGAGGUCUUUUCCUAAUAAUUUGAAACUGGAAACCAAAUGUAUCAUCUUUUAAAGACAUAAUAAGGAUUUGACUUUACCCUAGUAUAAUAUACUACUAUUAAGUUUAAAGUUCAAAUCGUAAUUAUUGCUGUACUCUGGGUUGAGAUGUUUUAAAUUAGUUUUUUUCAUAAUGAAAGAGAUAUAGGCUCCCUGUAAAAUUUAAAACUUUAUGAAGUAUAAAGUGAAAUAUAAAUGUCAAUAGUCCACAAAAAUUUGAAUAAACACUUCACCAAAAGAGAUCUACAAAUGGCAAAUAAGUACAUGAAAAAUGUACAUUGUUAAUCAUUAAAGAAAUGAAAAUUUAAGUCACCCAUUAGAAGAGCUAAAAUUUAGAAGUCUGAUCAUGCCAGAUACUGGCAAGGAUAUAGACAAAUGGAAAUGUUCAUACAGUGCUAGUGGGAUAUAAGAUGGUACAACCAGUUUGAAAACCAACUUUGCAGGUUCUUAAAAAGUUACACCUUUCAUAUGAUCUAAACAUUCCACUCUCAAGUAUUUACACAAGAGAAAUGAAAGCAUAUGCAAACACAAAGACUGGUGCACAAAUGUUCCUAGCAGUUUUAUUUUGUUUUGUUUUUGGGGGAAUAGCCCAAAACUAUUCACAAUCCAAAUGUCCAUCACCAGAUGAAUGAUAAGCAAAUUGUGAUACAUCCAUACAAUUGUGAUGCUAUUCUGCAAUUAAAAGGAAUCAAUUAUUGAUAUUCUUAGCAACGUGGAUGAAUCUCUAAUUGUGCUUCAAUGAAAGAAGCAAGACCAAAAAUAAGACAUAUUACACGAUUCCAUUUAUGUAAAAUUCUGGGAAAUGCAAACUUUUCAUGACAGAAAGUAGAUCAAUGGUUGCCUGAGAUAGGGGACAGGGAAGGGUGAUAGGGAGGGGAUGGGAGGAAACUUUUGAAGACAAUGAAUAUAUUCGUUG
Long non-coding RNA from Canis lupus familiaris (dog), 1725 nucleotides. RefSeq lists it as uncharacterized. The transcript has 3 exons. The record is from RefSeq and is a predicted model, not a curated record. Lineage: Eukaryota; Metazoa; Chordata; Mammalia; Carnivora; Canidae.